GAUGAACGCUGGCGGCGUGCCUAAUACAUGCAAGUCGAGCGAACGGACGAGAAGCUUGCUUCUCUGAUGUUAGCGGCGGACGGGUGAGUAACACGUGGAUAACCUACCUAUAAGACUGGGAUAACUUCGGGAAACCGGAGCUAAUACCGGAUGAUAUUUUGAACCGCAUGGUUCAAAAGUGAAAGACGGUCUUGCUGUCACUUAUAGAUGGAUCCGCGCUGCAUUAGCUAGUUGGUAAGGUAACGGCUUACCAAGGCAACGAUGCAUAGCCGACCUGAGAGGGUGAUCGGCCACACUGGAACUGAGACACGGUCCAGACUCCUACGGGAGGCAGCAGUAGGGAAUCUUCCGCAAUGGGCGAAAGCCUGACGGAGCAACGCCGCGUGAGUGAUGAAGGUCUUCGGAUCGUAAAACUCUGUUAUUAGGGAAGAACAUAUGUGUAAGUAACUGUGCACAUCUUGACGGUACCUAAUCAGAAAACCACGGCUAACUACGU
This 496-nucleotide ribosomal RNA is filed under the name uncultured bacterium. RNAcentral describes it as "partial 16S ribosomal RNA". It matches the Rfam family "Bacterial small subunit ribosomal RNA", at positions 28 to 506 of the family's 1533-position model. The record is from RNAcentral.